RNAcentral lists this ribosomal RNA (185 nucleotides) under uncultured bacterium. RNAcentral describes it as "partial 16S ribosomal RNA". It matches the Rfam family "Bacterial small subunit ribosomal RNA", at positions 1318 to 1500 of the family's 1533-position model. The record is from RNAcentral.
GCAUGAAGUUGGAAUUGCUAGUAAUCGCGGAUCAGCAUGCCGCGGUGAAUACGUUCCCUGGCCUUAUACACACCGCCCGUCACACCAUGGGAGCCGGUAAUACCCGAAGUCAGUAGCCUAACCGCAAGGGGGGGCGCUGCCGAAGGUAGGAUUGGCGACUGGGGGUGAAGUCGUAACAAGGUAAC